GGCCUCAUGGCGCAACGGUAGCGCGUUCGACUCCAGAUUCUGUCCUGCGACCGUUUCUGAGCUGAUAUCGAAAGGUUAUCCGUUCAAAUCGGGUUGGGGUCA
Non-coding RNA from Colletotrichum gloeosporioides, 102 nucleotides. The record is from Rfam. Lineage: Eukaryota; Fungi; Ascomycota; Sordariomycetes; Glomerellales; Glomerellaceae.